RNAcentral lists this long non-coding RNA (238 nucleotides) under Carica papaya (papaya). Its description in RNAcentral is "long non-coding RNA (CPAP_LNC016124)". Lineage: Eukaryota; Viridiplantae; Streptophyta; Magnoliopsida; Brassicales; Caricaceae. The record is from RNAcentral.
AAGCCCAAGAUUUAUCAAGAAGAUGGAUUUGGAGAUCUUAAAAGAAGAAUUCAAAUGCUUUUAGACCCAAUCACAAGAGCUCAGUCCAAAAAGAUCCAAUAAGCCUUUAAUAUUUUGGUCCAAUAGUGGGUAAGUGAAGAACUCAAGUUGGAGGCCUAAGAAAGAGCAAGAAAAGGCCCAAGAAGCCAAGGAAGGCCUCGACCUUAUGUGGUUUUAGCUUUAAGCCCAUAAGACCGAG